ACGAACGCUGGCGGCGUGCUUAACACAUGCAAGUCGAACGGAAAGGCCCUGCUUUUGUGGGGUGCUCGAGUGGCGAACGGGGGAGUAACACGUGAGUAACCUGCCCUUGACUUUGGGAUAACUUCAGGAAACUGGGGCUAAUACCGGAUAGGAGCUCCUGCUGCAUGGUGGGGGUUGGAAAGUUUCGGCGGUUGGGGAUGGACUCGCGGCUUAUCAGCUUGUUGGUGGGGUAGUGGCUUACCAAGGCUUUGACGGGUAGCCGGCCUGAGAGGGUGACCGGCCACAUUGGGACUGAGAUACGGCCCAGACUCCUACGGGAGGCAGCAGUGGGGAAUAUUGCACAAUGGGCGUAAGCCUGAUGCAGCAACGCCGCGUGCGGGAUGACGGCCUUCGGGUUGUAAACCGCUUUCGCCUGUGACGAAGCGUGAGUGACGGUAAUGGGUAAAGAAGCACCGGCUAACUACGUG
This 467-nucleotide ribosomal RNA is filed under the name uncultured bacterium. RNAcentral describes it as "partial 16S ribosomal RNA". It matches the Rfam family "Bacterial small subunit ribosomal RNA", at positions 29 to 507 of the family's 1533-position model. The record is from RNAcentral.